AGCAGCCGCGGUAAUUCCAGCUCCAAUAGCGUAUAUUAAAGUUGUUGCAGUUAAAAAGCUCGUAGUUGAAUUUCGGGAUCAAUACGUCGGUCGUGCUUCGGUACGUACUGGCGUCAUUGAUUUCUCCCUUCUGACGAACCAUGAUGUCAUUAACUUGGUGUCAUGGGAAAUCAGGACUGUUACUUUGAAAAAAUUAGAGUGUUUAAAGCAGGCUCACGCUUGAAUACAUUAGCAUGGAAUAAUGAAAUAGGACGUUCGAUCCUAUUUUGUUGGUUUCUAGGAUCAACGUAAUGAUUAAUAGGGAUAGUUGGGGGCAUUAGUAUUCAAUUGUCAGAGGUGAAAUUCUUGGAUUUAUUGAAGACUAACUACUGCGAAAGCAUUUGCCAAGGAUGUUUUCAUUAAUCAAGAACGAAAGUUAGGGGAUCGAAGACGAUCAGAUACCGUCGUAGUCUUAACCAUAAACUAUGCCGACUAGGGAUCGGAUGAUGUUAAUUAUUUAAUGACUCAUUCGGCGCCUUACG
RNAcentral lists this ribosomal RNA (521 nucleotides) under uncultured Glomeraceae. RNAcentral's name for it is "SSU rRNA". It matches the Rfam family "Eukaryotic small subunit ribosomal RNA", at positions 569 to 1092 of the family's 1831-position model. The record is from RNAcentral. Lineage: Eukaryota; Fungi; Glomeromycota; Glomeromycetes; Glomerales; Glomeraceae.